UACGUAGGGCGCAAGCGUUGUCCGGAAUUAUUGGGCGUAAAGAGCUCGUAGGCGGUUUGUCGCGUCUGCUGUGAAAACCCGAGGCUCAACCUCGGGCCUGCAGUGGGUACGGGCAGACUAGAGUGUGGUAGGGGAGACUGGAAAUUCCUGGUGUAGCAGUGAAAUGCGUAGAGAUCAUGAGGGAAAGACCCAGUGGGCGAA
Molecule: ribosomal RNA, 201 nt
Filed under: uncultured bacterium
Lineage: Bacteria
Description: partial 16S ribosomal RNA
Rfam family: Bacterial small subunit ribosomal RNA
Source: RNAcentral